This 201-nucleotide long non-coding RNA is filed under the name Elaeis guineensis (African oil palm). RNAcentral's name for it is "long non-coding RNA (EGUI_LNC066560)". Lineage: Eukaryota; Viridiplantae; Streptophyta; Magnoliopsida; Arecales; Arecaceae. The record is from RNAcentral.
CCUUCCCUCAAGUUACAAGCUUUUUCAAAAUUUUUUCAUCAUCUUUUUUAAAUUUUCCUUACCAUGAGUCGACCCCCAGGGUCGACCCUAGGGUAAACUUAUAAUUUUUUAUUAAAAUGCAUCGGGCUUUGUUUUAUUGGGAUUUCAUCGAUUGCAAAGAGCCGACCCCUUUGUCGUUCGUCUUCCCCAUUCCACCGACCA